RNAcentral lists this ribosomal RNA (484 nucleotides) under uncultured bacterium. RNAcentral's name for it is "partial 16S ribosomal RNA". It matches the Rfam family "Bacterial small subunit ribosomal RNA", at positions 30 to 507 of the family's 1533-position model. The record is from RNAcentral.
AUUGAACGCUGGCGGCAGGCCUAAUACAUGCAAGUCGAGCGGACGAGCGGAGCGCGCUCUAUGCUUCAGUUACGGACGGGCGGGUAAUGCAUAGGUAUCUGCCCGGCCUAUGGGGACAACGUAUCGUCAGGAACCCUAAUACCGUACACGUCCUUCGAGUGAAAGGGGUGGAUCAUUGGACCUCACGCUAUCAGAUGUGCCUUAGACGGAUUAGCUAGUUGGAGAGGUAAAGGCUUACCAAGGCGACGAUCCGUAACUGGUCUGAGAGGAUGAUCAGUCACACUGGAACUGAGACACGGUCCAGACUCCUACGGGAGGCAGCAGUAGGGAAUAUUGGACAAUGGGCGAAAGCCUGAUCCAGCAAUGCCGCGUGUGUGAAGAAGGUCUUCGGAUUGUAAAGCACUUUAAGUUGGGAGGAAGGGCAGUAAGUUAAUACCUUGCUGUUUUGACGUUACCAACAGAAUAAGCACCGGCUAACUUCGUG